RNAcentral lists this unclassified non-coding RNA (789 nucleotides) under Hevea brasiliensis (rubber tree). Lineage: Eukaryota; Viridiplantae; Streptophyta; Magnoliopsida; Malpighiales; Euphorbiaceae. The record is from RNAcentral.
CUACAUUAUGGCAUUUUUCUCUUUUCUUCUCAUUUGAGCCGAGGGUCUUUCGGAAACCGCUCUUUAUCCCACAAAGGCAAGGGUAAGAUCUGUAUACAUCCUACCCUGCUCAGACUCCACUUGUGGCCCGUUGGAUUACACUGGAAAAUGCCAAAAAGGAAAACCGACAAGGCAUAUGUAUUGGAUAAAAAAAAGUAUCUCGCAAGACUGAGUGUAGAUGAUGCGGGGAAAGUUCUUCUAAAGCGUGGUGAAGGGAAAAUGGAGAAACAGUUUCGGAUGUCCUGUAAGGGAUGUGGCCUGUUUGUCUGCUAUCGGGCAGAAGAAGAUCUGGAGACUGCCUCUUUCAUAUAUGUAGUUGAUGGGGCACUUAGCACUAUUGCGGCUGAGACAAAUCCACAGGAUGCUCCUGUACCACCAUGUAUAUCACAGUUAGAAGGUGGCCUUGUGCAAGUGGCGAUAGAAGUCGAGGACCGUGCCCAGCGGUCUGCAAUUACAAGAGUGAAUGCAGAUGAUGUUCGGGUCACUGUAACCGCACCUGCAGCUCGUGGGGAAGCUAAUAAUGAACUUCUGGAAUUCAUGGGCCGAGUACUGGGUCUGAAAUUAUCUCAGAUGACUCUCCAAAGAGGAUGGAAUAGCAAAUCAAAGCUUCUUGUAGUGGAGGAUUUGACAGCUAGACAAGUAUACGAAAAACUCUUGGAGGCUGCCCAACCUUGAGAUGGCUCCCAGAUCCUAAUAGUUUUUCGUAGUCAUUUUCUCCAUGUUUGUAACAUUGAAACUUCAGUUUCUCAA